This 253-nucleotide ribosomal RNA is filed under the name uncultured bacterium. RNAcentral's name for it is "partial 16S ribosomal RNA". It matches the Rfam family "Bacterial small subunit ribosomal RNA", at positions 524 to 776 of the family's 1533-position model. The record is from RNAcentral.
UACGUAGGGGGCAAGCGUUGUCCGGAAUUAUUGGGCGUAAAGAGCUCGUAGGCGGUUUGUCGCGUCUGCCGUGAAAGUCCGGGGCUCAACUCCGGAUCUGCGGUGGGUACGGGCAGACUAGAGUGAUGUAGGGGAGACUGGAAUUCCUGGUGUAGCGGUGAAAUGCGCAGAUAUCGAGAGGAACACCAGUGGCGAAGGCGAGUCCCUGGACACUUCCUGACACUGAGGCACGAAAGCUAGGGGAGCAAACAGG